AGGCUCUCAAGGUGGUCUCGGGUCAAGAGGUCUCCUGUUCUUGUUUCCCGUAAACAUGAGGACCCCUGUACACCCCUGUAUCAAAUGUUCAUGGUGUAAUAAUUACUUCCCGUUGUCCGCACUCGUAGCUCAUAGGGCGGCCUGCCUUCCAGAGGGCCUUGGGACUGGAUCGAAAGAUAUAUCUACUAGAAACAAUGAAGAGACGUCGUCGACUAGCUCUGAUCGAUCAGAUGUCGGUUUCUCUCAACCAGACCCCAGCGAUAUUGGAAGUUGUUCUCCACGGGCGGGUCUCAGCGACGAAGCCAGUCAAAACCAAAGGACUAUCUCCGAAGAAGGCGGGUCUGGUAGGCUCAGCCAUUGGCCCUCCUCUUCAACGAUCGGUAGUGGAGGAAAACGAAAACAAGCGAAUACAGGAACAAACGGUAA
Long non-coding RNA from Eriocheir sinensis (Chinese mitten crab), 426 nucleotides. RefSeq lists it as uncharacterized. The record is from RefSeq and is a predicted model, not a curated record. NCBI's taxonomy places the organism in Eukaryota, Metazoa, Arthropoda, Malacostraca, Decapoda, Varunidae. The transcript is spliced from 3 exons.